GACGUAGGGGGCAAGCGUUGUCCGGAAUCAUUGGGCGUAAAGAGCGUGUAGGCGGUCCGGUAAGUCGGCUGUGAAAGUCCAGGGCUCAACCCUGGGAUGCCGGUCGAUACUGCCGGACUAGAGUUCGGAAGAGGCGAGUGGAAUUCCCGGUGUAGCGGUGAAAUGCGCAGAUAUCGGGAGGAACACCUAUGGCGAAGGCAGCUCGCUGGGACGUUACUGACGCUGAGACGCGAAAGCGUGGGGAGCAAACAGG
RNAcentral lists this ribosomal RNA (253 nucleotides) under uncultured bacterium. RNAcentral's name for it is "partial 16S ribosomal RNA". It matches the Rfam family "Bacterial small subunit ribosomal RNA", at positions 524 to 776 of the family's 1533-position model. The record is from RNAcentral.